RNAcentral lists this ribosomal RNA (315 nucleotides) under uncultured fungus. Its description in RNAcentral is "partial small subunit ribosomal RNA". It matches the Rfam family "Eukaryotic small subunit ribosomal RNA", at positions 30 to 335 of the family's 1831-position model. The record is from RNAcentral. Lineage: Eukaryota; Fungi.
GCUUGUCUCAAAGAUUAAGCCAUGCAUGUCUAAGUUCAUGCCGUAUUAAGGCGAAACCGCGAAUGGCUCAUUAAAUCAGUUAUGGUUCCUUGGAUCGUACUUUACUACUUGGAUAACUGUGGCAAUUCUAGAGCUAAUACAUGCAGCAGAGCUCCGACCUUCGGGGACGAGCGCUUUUAUUAGACCAAAACCGAUCGAGGUACUUAGUGCUUCGUUAUUAUGGUGACUCUGUAUAACUUUGGGCUGAUCGCACGGUCUUAGUGCCGGCGACGUAUCUUUCAAGUGUCUGCCUUAUCAACUGUCGAUGGUAGGUUA